CUUGUUCCCUCUGACACUUUUACCCCAACGUCAGAGGGGACAUUUCUGAGCCCAUCACCUCGUCUCCACGCGCAGCUGAGCAUCAGUUCUUAAGAGUUCGUGUGCAGACCGCGAGUGCUGCCCUUUGAGGAGGGCGGAUGCUGCGUGCGCCCGUGAUGCUGUGCAUUUAAAAUCGUGGAGGUCUUUGCCGUGGUUCAUCUUUAGUCGGGGUGAUUGACGUAAAGACCAGAGCGCCUUAAUUUUCCCUCAUGAAGUGCAUCCUGUUUCCCCGAUCGCCACCCAGCAUGACCUCAUAAGGCUUCUAAGGUCAUUUUUUUAAAGUUUAGUCAGUUACCCCAAGUGAGGAAACUUCCAGAUUCCUGACUGAGUUACAAGCCUUACUGCCAGUUUUCUGUGACUGAGGAGGGAAAAAGGCUAGAUAUCUCAUUAUUGGCAGCUCUUCUAUCCAGAGUGAGUUAAGGAUCCAGACUUCUACCUAGUGCUUUUACCAUCCGGGGCACCCUGUCAUCAACUUCAUCUAACCAGCUGAAUGGUAGAGAGAAUUUCCAAGACGAAAAUACAUAACAAAUCACUAUCUGUGAUUCACUAUCUGUGAUUCAUUAUCGCUGAAAAAUUCAUGGCUAUAACUUAAAGAGGGAAAUUAUUGGUUAAGUGCUGCUAGGUGCUUAAGACAAUCUCCUAUUCAUGCACAGGUAUUUAUCAUCCUCAGAACCCUGUGAGUUCAACUUUAUAUCCAAGUGAGGAGUGGGAAGUUUUGAGAGAAUUACAUUUCUUAGGUUCACUGCUGCUAAGUGGCACAUUUGGGGUCUAAAGCCAGAUUAUAAAGCCAGUUCAUUUUACCAUUUAUUUUAAAAAUAUGAGUGGUAGAAUAUAGCCUCUAAGAACUGUUUAAAAACAUGAAACAUUUUUAUGUGACAUUUUGUUUUGAAACAAAUCCUUGUAUUGCCUAGAAGAUAUACAAUGUAUGUUGAAAAUUAUCAUUGUAUAUCCUAAACUUUGGGCACAGUGGAAAACUAGGUAACUCUGGAAUAUUAAAAUAGGCUAAUAAGAUAUAGACCAACUGCAUAGUUAUUUUAGAUUGCGUGGAAUAAGGUUGCCUGUCUAACAUGAAACAUGUAUUAUAUACACCCAAAAGUAGGUGUAAUAUAUCAGUAUACUUUAAAGAAUAAUACAUUGAAUGCCUAUUACCCUACCACCAAGAAAGAAAUAAAAUAUUGUCAGUAAUUUAGAAGCCCAAAAUGUGUUCCUUUCAGGUCACAUUUUCCUCCCUUACAACACCUUCCCCGACCUCUUUGCCUGAAGCAGCCAUGACCCAGAAUUUUGUGUUGAUCAUUGCACUCAUUUUCUUCAGAAUUCGACUACAUUGUGUAUAACUCUAAAUUUCAUUGGUUUGCCUAUUUUCGAACUUUCUAAAAGCAGACACUUUUGUCAUUCUGUUAGUUGAUUCUUAGCUUUGACAUAAAGUUUUUGAAAUCCUGCAUUUUGAUGAAGUCAGUAAUUAAUACAUAUCUCUGCUAUAUGUUGUUCCAUUGUCUGGAUAUAUAUUUGUACAUUUGAUAUUAUGAACAAAGAUGUUUUGAGUUUUUUUAAUAGAUUGCUCCUGUUUCCAUAUGAAGAAUUUCUCUAUGGCAGGGAUUUUUAACCUUUUUUAUGGAAUGGCAUAAAUGACCAUAGCACCGUUGGGAAAUCUUCCCCUUUAAAAAUAUUUUAUUACUUGAGAGAGCAGAAGAUUG
Mustela erminea (ermine) is the source of this 1733-nucleotide long non-coding RNA. RefSeq lists it as uncharacterized. The transcript is spliced from 3 exons. The record is from RefSeq and is a predicted model, not a curated record. NCBI's taxonomy places the organism in Eukaryota, Metazoa, Chordata, Mammalia, Carnivora, Mustelidae.